Non-coding RNA from Cydia amplana, 72 nucleotides. Lineage: Eukaryota; Metazoa; Arthropoda; Insecta; Lepidoptera; Tortricidae. The record is from the annotation of a RefSeq genome assembly.
GCGCGGAUGGCCGAGUGGUUCAGGCACCUGUCCGGUAAACAGAGGACGCUGGUUCGAUUCCAGCUCUGGACA